Molecule: small nucleolar RNA, 79 nt
Filed under: Dasypus novemcinctus (nine-banded armadillo)
Lineage: Eukaryota; Metazoa; Chordata; Mammalia; Cingulata; Dasypodidae
Source: RNAcentral
CCAUGAUGUCCAGCACUGGGCUCCAACCACCCCUAUGGACACCAUGCCCCCCAGGACCUUUGACACCCAGGGGUCUGAG